UAGGGAAUCUUCGGCAAUGGACGGAAGUCUGACCGAGCAACGCCGCGUGAGUGAAGAAGGUUUUCGGAUCGUAAAGCUCUGUUGUAAGAGAAGAACGAGUGUGAGAGUGGAAAGUUCACACUGUGACGGUAUCUUACCAGAAAGGGACGGCUAACUACGUGCCAGCAGCCGCGGUAAUACGUAGGUCCCGAGCGUUGUCCGGAUUUAUUGGGCGUAAAGCGAGCGCAGGCGGUUAGAUAAGUCUGAAGUUAAAGGCUGUGGCUUAACCAUAGUACGCUUUGGAAACUGUUUAACUUGAGUGCAAGAGGGGAGAGUGGAAUUCCAUGUGUAGCGGUGAAAUGCGUAGAUAUAUGGAGGAACACCGGUGGCGAAAGCGGCUCUCUGGCUUGUAACUGACGCUGAGGCUCGAAAGCGUGGGGAGCAAACAGGAUUAGAUACCCUGGUAGUCCACGCCGUAACGAUGAGUGCUAGGUGUUGGAUCCUUUCCGGGAUUCAGUGCCGCAGCUAACGCAUUAAGCACUCCGCCUGGGGAGUACGACCGCAAGGUUG
RNAcentral lists this ribosomal RNA (549 nucleotides) under uncultured bacterium. Its description in RNAcentral is "bacterial SSU rRNA". It matches the Rfam family "Bacterial small subunit ribosomal RNA", at positions 355 to 896 of the family's 1533-position model. The record is from RNAcentral.